AUGUCGUGAUGAGGGCACUUUCGUAGUAACUUCUUGAACCGCCCCCAUGCCUCAUAUAAAGAUUCUUCAUCAAGUUGUUGAAAUGAAGUGAUUUCAUUUCGGAUCUU
RNAcentral lists this small nucleolar RNA (107 nucleotides) under Gossypium hirsutum (cotton). RNAcentral describes it as "Plant small nucleolar RNA R71". It matches the Rfam family "Plant small nucleolar RNA R71". Rfam says of the family: R71 is a member of the C/D box family of snoRNAs containing the C (UGAUGA) and D (CUGA) box motifs. The record is from Rfam by way of RNAcentral. Lineage: Eukaryota; Viridiplantae; Streptophyta; Magnoliopsida; Malvales; Malvaceae.